ACAAUAAUAACACAAAUCAAAAUUCCUAUAAAUGUGAGACGUGUAGGCAAUAUUAUGUACGUGUACGUGUGGCAAUAUUGUGAUAUAAAAUGCAACUGAAUGGAUAAACCUCUAAAUUCCACAUGACGUAGAAAUUUCCAAAGAUACGCUUGAUUAACUAAAUUAUAUGGACGAGGGCUACAACGAGAGAAGAUCAUCGCAUUUGUGCCGCGUGAUUCAUUUGCGUCGCGACGCAUUUAUUAUUUUGUCUCGUCUCUAUUUCGACUGUGAUAAAUUGUUUGAGAAAUUUGGUGCGCCAAGUCUACGUUCUUGCGCAAUUUUCCAAACUAUGUGACUCUAAAAUUAUUUAUUGUAACACAACAAGGAGCGAAGAAAAUUUUCAUGAGAUGUUUGUGCGUUUCAAAACUUAUUCUGAAUUUUUAUAAUAAACGAAAAAAAA
Pogonomyrmex barbatus (red harvester ant) is the source of this 439-nucleotide long non-coding RNA. NCBI's taxonomy places the organism in Eukaryota, Metazoa, Arthropoda, Insecta, Hymenoptera, Formicidae. The record is from RefSeq and is a predicted model, not a curated record.